UACGUAGGGGGCGAGCGUUGUCCGAAGUUACUGGGCGUAAAGAGCGCGUAGGCGGACUCUUAAGUGAGGGGUGAAAGUCCGAGGCUCAACCUCGGAACUGCCUUUCAUACUGGGAGCCUUGAGUGCGGGAGAGGCGAGUGGAAUGGUUGGUGUAGCGGCGAAAUGCGUAGAUAUCAAUCGGAACACCCAUGGCGAAGGCAGCUCGCUGGCCUGUAACUGACGCUGAGGCGCGAAAGCGUGGGGAGCAAACAGG
Molecule: ribosomal RNA, 253 nt
Filed under: uncultured prokaryote
Description: partial 16S ribosomal RNA
Rfam family: Bacterial small subunit ribosomal RNA
Source: RNAcentral